CACCAUUUGCUGACAGGGCUGUAGCUUGUUUCUCCCAGACUAGAUACAGUGGUGGGUCAUUAGACCUUUAAACAGUCAUUUUUUCAGGUGGAAAGGCUAGGGAAACCAGUUCAACCAAGUUUCUCUGCAGGGGACUAGUGAAAUAGAAAGAAGAAAAUUCCCAGCAGCAGAAUAAGGAACCAGGUAUUGUUGGUGAGACAUAAACUCAAGAGAUUCACUGAGACAGAACACUUUGGGGAGGAUUUUUGUAGCAGGAGGGUCUGGUUUAACUGUGGGACUGACCAAGGGCAGAGUAAGUAGCUGACCUAGAGAGGUACUGUGAUUCUGAAGAGAAACCACAAACCAACUGCAAGAGAAGGAUCCUAUCCUAUACUCAAGAACUAUCUGGAGUGGGGAGGAACCUGAAGCAGGGAAAUGCCUAUAGGUUCAAGCCUCCAUCUAGAUCUUCCUCAGGUAUCAGCUUUUGACUCUGGUCCUGCAACUGGAUAUGUGCGUGAAGAGCUGUAAAAACAGACGUGAGGCAAGCUGUAGGAGAAGGCACUGCAGGAUGAGUCAAAAAUGGCUGCAUGUAGAUUUUCCAUGUCAAAGGUUCAGAUGUGGAUCUCAGAGAAUCCCUGCAUCUCUUCUUGCCUACAAACGGGUUCUACUCCCUUCCUUGGAAGAAGCUGUGCAUCCUUCUUGGAAGAAGCUGUGCGAAGACAACUGUAGUUUUAAAUCACUGCUCAAACCCAGCACAUUCUGGGGAGACUGUCAAUUCACAACUUGUCCCCAGCCCUACAGCCAUAUAUAGCGAUUGAGACCAUCAGAAUGAUGUUGUGGGAUGCACCUGAGCAUGAUCAAGGCCACAACUUUGCUCCAUCAGGGACAGGUUCUUCCCUGUCUGUGGGUAAGCCUGCAGUAGAAAUGCUACAGUGCCACAGCGGAAGAUGUUCUUCUGUUGCUGUGGUAAAUCCACCUCUCCGAGAGGCACUUGCUAGGUCGACAGAAGAAUUCUUCCAUUGACCUAUCAGGGUCUACACCACGGCUUAGGUCAGCUUAAUAACGUUGCACAGGGCAUGACAUUUUUCACAGCCCUGAGCAAUGUAGUUAAGCUGACCUAACAAUGUAAUGUAGAGCAGGCCUGACAUUCAGUUGGGGGAAUAUUCUUAAAAGGGCUUGUGGUCUAAUGCAGCUCUCCCUGGAGCAAAGUCCAAAAGAGAGCUCAGUGAGGGAGACAAAGAGGGGGCCACUGGGCUGAACAUGGUAGUUGGUGGGAAAGAAGCAUCCUUCACACCUCUUGUUUUGGAUUCCCCAUUGUCCAAAUUAAACCAUACCUUAAAACCUUCUCAAGUGAUAUCAAUAGGAAAGGGGGGCCUCUUUGUGAGAUGCAUGAGCAAUGUAUCUAGAGAGGAGAGCACAGUUUAGUCACCAUUUCAAUUUGGAUUUGCUAAAAGAGCUAGCAAAGAGAAACCAAUUCCCGUCUCAAAUAUUGGGAACUAGAUUGACAUUAGCAUCUGUACUGUGUUAAAUACAGUAUCUUGAUUGUUAUCACCUAUAGUAAGCUCUCUAGGCAGGGAACUGUCUUUAUAUGUAUUUUACAGUAGCUAGUACAACUGGGACCUGAUCCUGAGUGGGGACUCUGACGGAGAACAUAAUGUGCAUAAUAACAAUACUGAUAUAACAAUAAUAAAUCAGGACUAACAGCCAAGCACACACCAUCCUUUGGAAAGAACAAAAGCCAUAAGUCUAUAAAGAAAACAUUUCAAAAGUAAAUGUUUGCAUCAAACUGUAAUAACUUCAAUUCAGAAGCUGUUCAGGAAAGGAAAAAUAGACCAGUGGAAAUCUGCUUCUGCCAAAAUAUAUUGACACAGGAGUUCCUCAGGAUGUUAUUACUCUACCUUCUGCUUUUGUGUAGAUUGCAAUGUUCCCAUUAACCAGACCAGCAAACAAGUACUGCGACAGAUACGUUAGGCUCAUAACCGUUGAUUUUUCUGGGGUGAAGAAGUGCUGAAGUCGGACUUUCUUUGAGCCUUGAUGACUCUUGUAAAUAGAAAUGCUACCAAAAAAAAAAACCACAUGAGAAAAAUGUAAAUAUGUCUUGUUCA
This is a long non-coding RNA of Chrysemys picta bellii (western painted turtle), 2084 nucleotides long. RefSeq lists it as uncharacterized. The record is from RefSeq and is a predicted model, not a curated record. NCBI's taxonomy places the organism in Eukaryota, Metazoa, Chordata, Testudines, Emydidae.